UGAUGUUAUGAUGAUGGCUAAAAUGUUCAGCUGCUCUGAAUGGACUGAAUAUAGCCUUCUGAACACUG
Otolemur garnettii (small-eared galago) is the source of this 68-nucleotide small nucleolar RNA. The record is from Ensembl. Lineage: Eukaryota; Metazoa; Chordata; Mammalia; Primates; Galagidae.